CCUACGGGAGGCAGCAGUGGGGAAUCUUGUGCAAUGGACGAAAGUCUGACACAGCCACGCCGCGUGCGGGAAGAAGGCCUUCGGGUUGUAAACCGCUUUCAGCAGGAACGAAAAUGACGGUACCUGCAGAAGAAGAUGCGGCCAACUACGUGCCAGCAGCCGCGGUGAUACGUAGGCAUCAAGCGUUGUCCGGAUUUAUUGGGCGUAAAGAGCUCGUAGGCGGUUCAGCAAGUCGGGUGUGAAAACUCUGGGCUUAACCCAGAGCCUGCACUCGAAACUGCUGUGACUAGAGUUCGGUAGGGGAGCAGGGAAUUCCUAGUGUAGCGGUGAAAUGCGCAGAUAUUAGGAGGAACACCAAUGGCGAAGGCACUGCUCUGGGCCGAUACUGACGCUGAGGAGCGAGAGCGUGGGUAGCAAACAGAAUUAGAUACCCUGGUAGUCCACGCCGUAAACGAUGGGCACUAGGUGUGGGUCUCUAACCAACGAGAUCUGCGCCGUCGCUAACGCAUUAAGUGCCCCGCCUGGGGAGUACGGUCGCAAGACAAAACUCAAAGGAUUGACGG
RNAcentral lists this ribosomal RNA (563 nucleotides) under uncultured bacterium. RNAcentral's name for it is "bacterial SSU rRNA". It matches the Rfam family "Bacterial small subunit ribosomal RNA", at positions 338 to 916 of the family's 1533-position model. The record is from RNAcentral.